UACGUAGGGUGCAAGCGUUGUCCGGAAUUAUUGGGCGUAAAGAGCUCGUAGGCGGUUCGUCGCGUCGGCUGUGAAAUCCCGAGGCUCAACCUCGGGUCUGCAGUCGAUACGGGCGGACUGGAGUUCGGCAGGGGAGACUGGAAUUCCUGGUGUAGCGGUGAAAUGCGCAGAUAUCAGGAGGAACACCGAUGGCGAAGGCAGGUCUCUGGGCCGAUACUGACGCUGAGGAGCGAAAGCGUGGGGAGCGAACAGG
Molecule: ribosomal RNA, 253 nt
Filed under: uncultured bacterium
Lineage: Bacteria
Description: partial 16S ribosomal RNA
Rfam family: Bacterial small subunit ribosomal RNA
Source: RNAcentral